UGGGGAAUUUUGGACAACGGGCGAAAGCCUGAUCCAGCAAUGCCGCGUGUGUGAAGAAGGCCUUCGGGUUGUAAAGCACUUUUGUCCGGAAAGAAAUCCUUGGCUCUAAUACAGUCGGGGGGAUGACGGUACCGGAAGAAUAAGCACCGGCUAACUACGUGCCGGCAGCCGCGGUAAUACGUAGGGUGCAAGCGUUAAUCGGAAUUACCGGGCGUAAAGCGUGCGCAGGCGGUUUGCUAAGACCGAUGUGAAAUCCCCGGGCUCAACCUGGGAACUGCAUUGGUGACUGGCAGGCUAGAGUAUGGCAGAGGGGGGUAGAAUUCCACGUGUAGCAGUGAAAUGCGUAGAGAUGUGGAGGAAUACCGAUGGCGAAGGCAGCCCCCUGGGCCAAUACUGACGCUCAUGCACGAAAGCGUGGGGAGCAAACAGGAUUAGAUACCCUGGUAGUCCACGCCCUAAACGAUGUCAACUAGUUGUUGGGGAUUCAUUUCCUUAGUAACGUAGCUAACGCGUGAAGUUGACCGCCUGGGGAGUACGGUCGCAAGAUUAAAACUCAAAGGAAUUGACGGGGU
Molecule: ribosomal RNA, 572 nt
Filed under: uncultured bacterium
Lineage: Bacteria
Description: partial 16S ribosomal RNA
Rfam family: Bacterial small subunit ribosomal RNA
Source: RNAcentral